UACGUAGGGGGCGAGCGUUGUCCGGAUUUAUUGGGCGUAAAGAGCUCGUAGGCGGUUUGGCAAGUCGGGUGUGAAAACUCCGGGCUCAACUCGGAGACGCCACUCGAUACUGCCAUGACUCGAGUCCGGUAGGGGAGUGCGGAAUUCCUGGUGUAGCGGUGAAAUGCGCAGAUAUCAGGAGGAACACCGGUGGCGAAGGCGGCUCACUGGCCCGGUACUGACGCUGAGGUGCGAAAGCGUGGGGAGCAAACAGG
Molecule: ribosomal RNA, 254 nt
Filed under: uncultured bacterium
Lineage: Bacteria
Description: partial 16S ribosomal RNA
Rfam family: Bacterial small subunit ribosomal RNA
Source: RNAcentral